RNAcentral lists this ribosomal RNA (913 nucleotides) under uncultured Bacteroidaceae bacterium. RNAcentral describes it as "bacterial SSU rRNA". It matches the Rfam family "Bacterial small subunit ribosomal RNA", at positions 538 to 1465 of the family's 1533-position model. Lineage: Bacteria; Pseudomonadati; Bacteroidota; Bacteroidia; Bacteroidales; Bacteroidaceae. The record is from RNAcentral.
GCGUUAUCCGGAUUUAUUGGGUUUAAAGGGAGCGUAGGCGGACGCUUAAGUCAGUUGUGAAAGUUUGCGGCUCAACCGUAAAAUUGCAGUUGAUACUGGGUGUCUUGAGUACAGUAGAGGCAGGCGGAAUUCGUGGUGUAGCGGUGAAAUGCUUAGAUAUCACGAAGAACUCCGAUUGCGAAGGCAGCCUGCUGGACUGUAACUGACGCUGAUGCUCGAAAGUGUGGGUAUCAAACAGGAUUAGAUACCCUGGUAGUCCACACAGUAAACGAUGCAUACUCGCUGUUUGCGAUAUACAGUAAGCGGCCAAGCGAAAGCGUUAAGUAUUCCACCUGGGGAGUACGCCGGCAACGGUGAAACUCAAAGGAAUUGACGGGGGCCCGCACAAGCGGAGGAACAUGUGGUUUAAUUCGAUGAUACGCGAGGAACCUUACCCGGGCUCAAACGGGAGAUGACGGCAGGAGAAAUCCUGCUUUCUUCGGACAUCUUCCGAGGUGCUGCAUGGUUGUCGUCAGCUCGUGCCGUGAGGUGUCGGCUUAAGUGCCAUAACGAGCGCAACCCCUGCGGACAGUUGCCAUCAGGUCGAGCUGGGCACUCUGUCCGGACUGCCGGCGCAAGCCGCGAGGAAGGCGGGGAUGACGUCAAAUCAGCACGGCCCUUACGUCCGGGGCGACACACGUGUUACAAUGGGCGGCACAGCGGGAAGCCAGGCGGCGACGCCGAGCGGAACCCGAAAGCCGUUCUCAGUUCGGAUCGGAGUCUGCAACCCGACUCCGUGAAGCUGGAUUCGCUAGUAAUCGCGCAUCAGCCAUGGCGCGGUGAAUACGUUCCCGGGCCUUGUACACACCGCCCGUCAAGCCAUGGGAGCCGGGGGCGCUUGAAGUGCGUUGCCGCGAGGCGCGCCCUAGAGCAA